UACUUAGGGGGCUAGCGUUGUCCGGAUUUAUUGGGCGUAAAGAGCGUGUAGGCGGCUUGGUAGGUCCGCUGUGAAAACUCGAGGCUCAACCUCGAGAUGUCGGCGGAAACCACUUGGCUAGAGUCCGGAAGGGGAGAGUGGAAUUCCUGGUGUAGCGGUGAAAUGCGCAGAUAUCAGGAGGAACACCUAGUGCGAAGGCAGCUCGCUGGGACGUUACUGACGCUGAGACGCGAAAGCGUGGGGAGCAAACAGG
Molecule: ribosomal RNA, 253 nt
Filed under: uncultured bacterium
Lineage: Bacteria
Description: partial 16S ribosomal RNA
Rfam family: Bacterial small subunit ribosomal RNA
Source: RNAcentral